UAGGGAAUCUUCCACAAUGGACGCAAGUCUGAUGGAGUAACGCCGCGUGAGUGAAGAAGGUUUUCGGACCGUAAAGCUCUGUUGUUGGUGAAGAAGGAUAGAGGUAGUAACUGGCCUUUAUUUGACGGUAAUCAACCAGAAAGUCACGGCUAACUACGUGCCAGCAGCCGCGGUAAUACGUAGGUGGCAAGCGUUGUCCGGAUUUAUUGGGCGUAAAGCGAGCGCAGGCGGAAGAAUAAGUCUGAUGUGAAAGCCCUCGGCUUAACCGAGGAAUUGCAUCGGAAACUGUUUUCU
RNAcentral lists this ribosomal RNA (294 nucleotides) under uncultured bacterium. Its description in RNAcentral is "partial 16S ribosomal RNA". It matches the Rfam family "Bacterial small subunit ribosomal RNA", at positions 355 to 642 of the family's 1533-position model. The record is from RNAcentral.